GCACUGGUGGUUCAGUGGUAGAAUUCUUGCCUUCCAAGUGGGAGACCCAGGUUCGAUUCCCAGCCAGUGCA
This 71-nucleotide transfer RNA is filed under the name Loxodonta africana (African savanna elephant). It matches the Rfam family "tRNA". From Rfam's summary of the family: Transfer RNA (tRNA) molecules are approximately 80 nucleotides in length. Their secondary structure includes four short double-helical elements and three loops (D, anti-codon, and T loops). Further hydrogen bonds mediate the characteristic L-shaped molecular structure. tRNAs have two regions of fundamental functional importance: the anti-codon, which is responsible for specific mRNA codon recognition, and the 3' end, to which the tRNAs corresponding amino acid is attached (by aminoacyl-tRNA synthetases). tRNAs cope with the degeneracy of the genetic code in two manners: having more than one tRNA (with a specific anti-codon) for a particular amino acid; and 'wobble' base-pairing, i.e. permitting non-standard base-pairing at the 3rd anti-codon position. Lineage: Eukaryota; Metazoa; Chordata; Mammalia; Proboscidea; Elephantidae. The record is from Rfam by way of RNAcentral.